This 2705-nucleotide ribosomal RNA is filed under the name Gomphonema parvulum. RNAcentral's name for it is "large subunit ribosomal RNA". It matches the Rfam family "Bacterial large subunit ribosomal RNA". Lineage: Eukaryota; Bacillariophyta; Bacillariophyceae; Cymbellales; Gomphonemataceae. The record is from RNAcentral.
GUUUUAAAGCAUUAAAUGAAUUCCUAAACAUUAAAAUUUUAAAUAUGGACGUUUAAUAACGAAAUGUUAGAGUGAGUAAAAGUUUUUGCUGAGAUCUCUAAUUUUCCAUAGAUAGAAAACUAAACUUUGUUAGAUUAAAGUUUAUUUUAAUUUAAAUUAAAAUAAAAAACUUAGUUAACUGAAUCAUCUAAGUAGCUAAGGAAAUAAAUCAACUGAGAUGCCGUAAGUAGUGGCGAGCGAACAUGGUAAAGACGUAAAAAGAUAUUUCUGAUCUAAUUUUUAAGCCAAAGAAGAAUAGCUCUGUAAGAUAAAAGAAAUAUCUUUUUUAAUUAAGUAAAACGAUACAAGUCAUGUAUUGUUUGAAUCUUGGGGGACCACCCUCAAAGUCUAAAAAUUUUAAUGCUUGAUAGUGUACUAGUACUGUGAAGGAAAGGUGAAAUAGAAUUUGUGAAGUUUGAAAUAGAUAAUGAAAUUUAAUGCUGACAAUCAGUUAGAGCCUUGUAAGGUGAUAACGUACCUUUUGUAUAAUGGAUCAACAAGUUUAUUUUAGUGGCGAGCUUAACUAGUUUUAGGUAGGCGUAAAGAAAUUAAGUUUUAAAAUGCUGAAUAGUCUCUAAAAUAAAACCCGAAACUAAGUGAUCUAACCAUGAACAGGUUGAAUUUAAAGCGGUAACGCUUAUUGGAGGACCGAACCCGUGUAUGUGGAAAAAUACUGGGAUGAUUUGUGGUUAGGAGUGAAAGGCUAAUCAAACUUAGAGAUAGCUGGUUUUCUGCGAAAUCUAUUUAAGUAGAGCGAUUAAAUAAAAUUUGUUUUUAGGUAGAGCUCUCGAUAAAUGAUGGGGAUGAAAAUCUUACUGAGUUUAUUGAAACUUCGAAUAAAAAAUGAAAGAUUUUAAUUAGACAGACUAUGAGUGCUAAGAUUCAUGGUCAAGAGGGAAACAGCCCAGAUUAAUGGUUAAGGUCCUUAAAAAUAAUUAAGUGAAAAAAAUGUUAAUAAGUGUUGACAACCAGUAGGUUAGCUUAGAAGCAGCUAUCCUUUAACAAUUGCGUAAUAGCUUCCUGGUCUAGCUUUAAUUUGCAUUGAAAAUGUAAAGGGACUUAAAUUAUUUACCGAAACCGUAAAUUUAACUAAAAGUUAAAUGGUAGCAGAACGUUCUGUAAGUCUAUGAAGAUUUAUGGUAACAUAAAUUGAAGAUAUCAGAAGUGAAAAUGUUGAUAUGAGUAGCGAUAAACAGUGUGAAAAACACUGUCGCCUUAAGUCUUAGGUUUCCAAAACAAGGCUAAUCCUUUUUGGUAAGUUAAUCGGUCUCUAAGAAAAUAAACGAAAGUUUUUUUCGAUGGGAAUAUAUUUUAAGUGACAAAAUAAAAACAUUAUUUUUAUUUUAUGGUUUAAAUAAAAGUUUUGUAUUAUUUUCAAGAAAUAGCUUAAAUUAAAUAAACCGUACCUUAAACCGACACAGGUAGACAAAUUGAGUAAAUUAAGGCGCUUGAGUUAAUUAUGUUGAAGGAACUCGGCAAAAUGACCCCGUAACUUUUGGAGAAGGGGUAGCUUUUUUAGGGUAACCUUUAAAAGCUGUCACAAAAUCGGGGACAGCGACUGCUUAAUAAAAGCACAGGUCUCUGCUAAUUUGUAAAAAGAUGUAUUGAGACUGACGCCUGCCCAGUGCUGUAAGAUUAAAAAAAAAAGUUAAUUGCUUUUUUUAUAACUCCCAGUAAACGGCGGCUGUAAUUCUGACGGUCCUAAGGUAGCGAAAUUCCUUGGCAUUUAAUUGGUGUCCUGCAUGAAUGGCGUAACGACUGUCCCACUGUCUCCAGCAUAAGCUCAGUGAAAUUGAAAUUUCCGUGAAGAUGCGGAAUACUUGCGGCUAGACGGAAAGACCCCGUGCACCUUUACUAUAGUUAUAUAUUGAAAUAAAAUAUUUUUUAUACAGUAUAAGUGGGAGUUAUAUUGAAUAUAUUAUUCAAUUUAUUAAACUUUUGCGCAAGCAAAUUGUUUAAACGUAAGUGAAAUACCACUUUAAAGAUAUCUUAUUUCUAAUUAAGUAAGACAAUGUAUAAUGGGUAGUUUGACUGGGGCGGUCGCCUCCUAAAGAGUAACGGAGGCGUACUAAGGUAAAUUUGAAUUAAAAAUACUAAUUUGUAAGCGUAAUAGUAAAUAUUUGCUUGACUGUAAGAUCGACAGAUCAAACAGGGACGAAAGUCGGUUAUAGUGAUCCGAUGAUUCUGUGUGGAAAAGAUCAUCGCUCAACGAAUAAAAGGUACGCCGGGGAUAACAGGCUAAUCAUUCUCUAGAGACCCUAUCGACGGAAUGGUUUGGCACCUCGAUGUUGGAUUAUCGCAUCCUGGAGCUGUAAGUGGUUCCAAGGGUUUGGCUGUUCGCCAAGGAAAGCGGUACAUGAUCUGAGUUUAGAACGUCGUGAGACAGUUUGGUCCCUAUCUACCGCAAGUGUAGAAAACUGAAAGGACUAGACCCUAGUACGAGAGGACUGGGGAAAGCAAAUCUCUGGUGAAACGAUUGUUAUACCAAUAGCAUCGUCGUGUAGCUAAAUUUGUAAUAAAUAAUCGCUGAAAGCAUCUAAGCGAGAAAUUAACCUUAAAACUAGUUUUUGUAUAAUUGUAAUAGAUGAUUACAUUGAUAGGCUUGAAGUGCAAGAAUUGUGAAAUUUUUAGCUGACAAGUACUAAAAACAAUUUAGACUUUUUAAC